CUGAAUACUGUACCGAUUUAUUUGUACUCGACGUAUAGACAUAGGAGGCUCAUUCUUAUAUGUCUUGUUUUAUCUGGACAUUGUAUUGUCACCUUAUUGAUUUGUUUUCAAUAAAAAAUAAAUAAAAAAAAUAUACAAACCCAGA
Molecule: long non-coding RNA, 145 nt
Organism: Bufo bufo (common toad)
Lineage: Eukaryota; Metazoa; Chordata; Amphibia; Anura; Bufonidae
Exons: 3
Source: RefSeq, a predicted model, not a curated record